CAAUAAGCGGAGGAAAAGAAACUAACAAGGAUUCCCCUAGUAACUGCGAGUGAAGCGGGAAAAGCUCAAAUUUAAAAUCUGGCGGUCUUCUGGCCGUCCGAGUUGUAGUCUGGAGAAGCGUUUUCCGCGUUGGACCGUGUACAAGUUUCCUGGAACGGAGCGUCAUAGAGGGUGAGAAUCCCGUCUUUGACACGGAUCCCAAUGCUUUGUGAUGCGCUCUCAAAGAGUCGAGUUGUUUGGGAAUGCAGCUCAAAAUGGGUGGUGAAUUCCAUCUAAAGCUAAAUAUUGGCGAGAGACCGAUAGCGAACAAGUACCGUGAGGGAAAGAUGAAAAGCACUUUGGAAAGAGAGUUAAACAGUACGUGAAAUUGUUGAAAGGGAAACGCUUGAAGUCAGUCGCGUCGGCCGGGACUCAGCCUUGCAUCCGCUUGGUGUACUUUCCGGUCGACGGGCCAGCAUCAGUUUUGACCGCGAGAUAAAGGCGGAGGGAAUGUGGCUCUCUCGGGAGUGUUAUAGCCCUUUGUCAGAUGUCGCGGUUGGGACUGAGGAACUCAGCACGCCUUUAUGGCCGGGGCUCGCCCACGUACGUGCUUAGGAUGCUGGCGUAAUGGCUUUAAACGACCCGUCUUGAAACACGGACCAAGGAGUCUAACAUGCCUGCGAGUGUUCGGGUGGAAAACCCGUGCGCGCAAUGAAAGUGAAAGUUGGGAUCCCUGUCGUGGGGUGCACCGACGCCCGGCCCAGACCUUUUGUGACGGAGCUGCGGUAGAGCAUGUAUGUUGGGACCCGAAAGAUGGUGAACUAUGCCUGAAUAGGGUGAAGCCAGAGGAAACUCUGGUGGAGGCUCGUAGCGAUUCUGACGUGCAAAUCGAUCGUCAAAUUUGGGUAUAGGGGCGAAAGACUAAUCGAACCAUCUAGUAGCUGGUCUGC
This 929-nucleotide ribosomal RNA is filed under the name Stereum hirsutum. RNAcentral's name for it is "partial 28S ribosomal RNA". It matches the Rfam family "Eukaryotic large subunit ribosomal RNA", at positions 44 to 959 of the family's 3401-position model. The record is from RNAcentral. Lineage: Eukaryota; Fungi; Basidiomycota; Agaricomycetes; Russulales; Stereaceae.